RNAcentral lists this ribosomal RNA (399 nucleotides) under uncultured microorganism. RNAcentral's name for it is "bacterial SSU rRNA". It matches the Rfam family "Archaeal small subunit ribosomal RNA", at positions 330 to 735 of the family's 1478-position model. The record is from RNAcentral.
GUGCAGCAGGCGCGAAACUUUACAAUGUGCGAAAGCACGAUAAGGGAACUCUGAGUGCCUCCUAAGGAGGCUGUUCAGGUGUCUAAAAGCACCUGGAGUAAGGGCUGGGUAAGACCGGUGCCAGCCGCCGCGGUAACACCGGCAGCCCAGGUGGUAGCCACUUUUAUUGGGUCUAAAGCGUCCGUAGCCGGUUGAGUAAGUUCCUUGGGAAAUUUGGCUGCUCAACAGUCAAGCUUCCAGGGAAUACUGCUCGACUUGGGACUGGGAGAGGUCAGAGGUACUCCAGGGGUAGGGAUGAAAAUCCAUUAAUCCCUGGGGGACCACCGGUAGCGAAGGCGUCUGACCAGACCAGGUCCGACGGUGAGGGACGAAGGCUAGGGUCGCGAACCGGAUUAGAUA